GACGAACGCUGGCGGCGCGCCUAACACAUGCAAGUCGAACGGAGCUACCUUUUCGGAAGUUUUCGGAUGGAAGAGGAAGUAGCUUAGUGGCGAACGGGUGAGUAACACGUGAGGAACCUGCCUUAAAGAGGGGGACAACAGUUGGAAACGACUGCUAAUACCGCAUAAGCCCACGGUGCCGCAUGGCACAGGGGGAAAAGGAGAAAUCCGCUUUAAGAUGGACUCGCGUCCAAUUAGCUAGAUGGUGAGGUAAAGGCUCACCAUGGCGACGAUUGGUAGCCGGACUGAGAGGUUGAACGGCCACAUUGGGACUGAGACACGGCCCAGACUCCUACGGGAGGCAGCAGUGGGGAAUAUUGCACAAUGGGGGAAACCCUGAUGCAGCGACGCCGCGUGGAGGAAGAAGGUUUUCGGAUUGUAAACUCCUGUCUUCGGGGACGAUAAUGACGGUACCCGAGGAGGAAGCCACGGCUAACUACGUGCCAGCAGCCGCGAUAAAACGUAGGUGGCAAGCGUUGUCCGGAAUUACUGGGUGUAAAGGGAGCGCAGGCGGGUCGGUAAGUUGGGAGUGAAAACUAUGGGCUCAACCCAUAAAUUGCUUUCAAAACUGCUGAUCUUGAGUGGUGUAGAGGUAGGCGGAAUUCCCGGUGUAGCGGUGGAAUGCGUAGAUAUCGGGAGGAACACCAGUGGCGAAGGCGGCCUACUGGGCACUAACUGACGCUGAGGCUCGAAAGCAUGGGUAGCAAACAGG
This 751-nucleotide ribosomal RNA is filed under the name uncultured Oscillospiraceae bacterium. RNAcentral describes it as "bacterial SSU rRNA". It matches the Rfam family "Bacterial small subunit ribosomal RNA", at positions 28 to 776 of the family's 1533-position model. Lineage: Bacteria; Bacillati; Bacillota; Clostridia; Eubacteriales; Oscillospiraceae. The record is from RNAcentral.